UUUUUUGUUUUUGUUUUUUUAAUUUGUAUUAAAGUGUAUUAUGUAAAACAGAGACAAACAUAGAGCUGUUUAACCAAAGAAGGGAAGGAGACCCUGAAACUGAGACUUCUUUUUCCCUCAAUCCUGCAGUGUCCCCAGGGGGACCUUCCUUUUCUGUGUGACAUAAUUUGGAUUCCUUAGGAGGUAAUCCUUCUAGUUAAAAAUCUUUAAUUACCACUUGCAGAUACACUGCUUUCCUAUCUAAUUUUCUCACCUUUCUUUGUUUUUGUUAUAUGCAAAAGUUUAAAGAACAUUGCAGAUGUGUUCUCUUUAUUAACACUGGACUUCAAACUACUUCCUUCAUCUGAACACUGUCCUCACCAGGAAAUCAACAUAGACCCUGUUUUAGACCCUGUUUAGUAAGAGUGUGCCUUUUAUAAGAAAAAUCUUAAAAAAUACACUCUCUAUGGAGACACUUGUAAUGUAGUUUGAAAUAUUCCCACACAUUUCAAAAUUAAGUAGAUAACUAUAUUUAGAUGUUGGCAAAAGCUGGCCCUAAUUUCUAUAAUAAAAACAGUGUUACAGUUAAAGUAUUAUAUAUUGUUUUCCUUGUUUCUAAUUCUACAAAUUCAUGAAUCGUAAACCUAGUUUGAAAACUGACUCUAGCUCCUCUUUUUCCUUUCUUCAAGCAGAUUAUUUUUGCCAAAGGAAUUCUCACACGGCAUUACAAUAGAACCACAUUCUUCAUUGUAUGUAUUUAAGAUUCUGUGUUGAAAAAUUAUUAACAUAGAAAACACCUUAAAAUUUUAGUUUCAUAAAAGCACAAGAGUGGAAAGCUCAUUUUAAGGAAAAUUUCAUUGAUUAAACUUUAGUAAAGGACCAUUUUCCUAAGAAUUGCAAAGUAAUGCAUUCAGUGUAACAUGUGACUUGAACUGUUUAAAAUUCUUUGUAUCAGAAAGACAUCACCCUCUAAAAUUAUGUAUAUUCAAUAGACCAGUAUUUAUUGUACUUUUUAUCAGAUUAAUCUAAAUAGUAUUACAUAUGUAUGUUCUCUAUUAUCCUAAAAUCAAAAUAAGUAGGAAUUUAUUUUAUUUCAUUCAUGUGAUGAUUUUUCUAUUUGAACAAUCCCCAAGUUAGGUCUAGUCUCUAGAAGUAUUAUUUACAGGCCACAUUUCAUCAGCUAUAUAUCAUUUGUACAAUAAUGUCUCUUGUUUAAUUAAACAUUAUAAACAAUAUUUGACUUAUUUCGGAUACACCAGGAGUUGCAAAAUAAAUAUAACUAGAGAACUAGCAAAAGGUAUGUUGUCAAAAAUUUAUGAAUUAGGAGCCCAUCGUGGUGCAGUGGAAACGAAUCUGACUAGGAACUAUGAGGUUGCAGGUUCGAUCCCUCUUCUCACUCAGUGAGUCAAGGAUCCGGCAUCGCUGUGAGCUGUGGUGUAGGUCGCAGACGAGGCUCAGAUCUGGUGUUGCUGUGGCUGUGGUGUAGACCAGCAGCUACAGCUCCGAUUAGACCCCCAGCCUGGGAACCUCCAUAUGCCAUGGGUAUAGCCCUAAAAAGACAAAAAAAAAAAAAAAUUAUGAAUUAAAUUGAGACAUGGAUUUCUGAAAUAGUAAAUGGUAAAUAGUAAAUGGCCUCUCUUUCCAUUUUUUGCAUAAUAUAUAUUACAUUAAAUAUUUUCUUCUUAUAAUAUCUCAUGAAAAUGUGAAAGCAUAAACAUGCAUAAUGAAAAAUAUACUUAUUCAUCAUUUAUUCAUCAUGUUCCAUAACUUUCAAAAAAAAAAUCUCAAAAAGUCUAUUAUUUCUUUUUCUUUCCGGCUGUAUCCUUCCUCUAUUCUGCCAUCCUCUUGGACUGUCAACCUGCACACUCACACUGUUCUCAGAAAACAUGGUGUUCACUAACUUCUCAAGUUCUGGUAGUGACUAAGACCAAAAACCCAGACUCAGGCAAUCACAGUUCAUGCAGCUGUCACUUGGUGGGUGACGUUUGAAUUUCCUGUCAUUGACUUUGUCAGUGGUUUAAGUUUUGCCCUCAGGAAAAAUUCUAAAUUCCAUACCAUGGAAUAAAAACACUCAAAUCUGUUUGGUUUCUACAGAAUUAUUCAGUCUUAUCUCCAUCUUACCCUCCUCUGCCCCUUUCCUCUCUCUGGCGCCCAAAUAGCUUACAAUUCCAAACAGCUCUUCAUCACCUGUGCUCUUUAUGGUUGCUUAUUUCCUCCAUUUCCUUUUAGUUUUUCCUUGUGCUUCAUGUACACCAAAAAUCUGACAAUAUUGAUACCAAUAUUGGAUGUCCCUUCUGAGUGUUCCAAUCGUGUACCUGUCAUAGGGCUUAUGACUCUGUGUGGAAAUUACCUGUUCAUUUAUUUUUCCAGUUUAUACCAUGAAAUUCUUCAGGGUGGCUUGUGUCACCUCCCACUUGUAAUUCCAAUACAUAUCACAGUAUCUUAGCACAUGGCUGUUGAGUAAAGGAAUGAGGAAUGAGAAAACCAUAAACUCUGAUACUCAGCCUCAAAAGCAGUUAGCUCAGCAAACAACCACAGGGAGCAAAUGAUAAAAUAAUCAUUGUGUAUUUUGUGUUGUAGUCAAAUAUAGAUAUUUUUCAUUCUUCUCAACAUUUGGAAAGAUGUCAGCUAUUCUUACCUAACUUAUUUCAUUAACUAGGAUAUAUUUUAAAUGAAGAAUUCUUCCUUUUUUUCUCCAGGUGAAUUUGAAUCUGGCUCCAAUGGAGAUUCUGCUCCAAGAUCUACUGAUGAUCCAUUUGUGAAAGCAAUCCCAAGGAUAUGUAAAAAUUUUGAAGAAAAAAUAUAAUUAUAUGAUCUGAAAGAUGAAUAGUAAAAAUUUAUCUACUGCACUGUUUAUAUAACAUUCUAGUUGUUUCCCUUUAAACAGGAUGUGAAAAUCUUUAUUAAAGGAAAAUAUUUUUGUAUCACAUGUGUAUGAUGAGAAUUUAUGUAUAUUUUAAACUGUUUCUCUGUAACCAACUUACUUUUAAGCAGAUUUUGAGAAUAAAAACCAGCACUGUUGAGUUUUACAUACUCCAACUGAGCCCAGAUACUAGCUGUCUAAUCAGCACCCAAACAACCAAACUUGUCAUUAAUAUUUAGCAGCAUUGAUUAGAUGGCUUUCUUGUAGUUUCUGGUGUUAAUUGCUAUAUAUAAACCUAAAAAUUUAGAUGGACAUCAUUUGAAUGUACUGCCACCGUGGCUGUGUUUUGAUAUAUUGUCAAUAUUUUGAUAUAUUACAAUUGUUAGAGAACCAUAAAACUCAUUCUGUAUAACUUUAAACCCUGAUACAUAAUUUUUUUUUUGUCUUUUGUCUUUUUAGGGCCACAUCCACAGCCUAUGGAGGUUCUCAGGCUAGGGGUCGAAUCAGAGCUACAGCAGCUGGCUUACGGCAGAGCCACAGCAAGGUGGGAUCCGAGCCAUGUCUGUGACCUACACCACAGCUCAUGGCAACGCCAGAUCCUUAACCUACUGAGCAAGGCCAGCGAUCGAACCCACAUCCUCAUGGAUACUAGUCAGGUUUGUUAACCACUGAGCCAUGAUGAGAACACCUAUACAGAACUUUCUUCAUGGAACAAUAAGAUAUACCUAAAGCUUUUCUCCUUUUCUAUUUAUUUUUUAACUUACUUUUUGGAAACAGUUUUAAAAUGAGAAAUUUUCUGAGCACCUGACUCAAACAGACAUCAGCACCAAACUACCAUAUCUCCCAUAUAUUUAAGUUACCAUUUAAAUUUCCUAUGUGUCCUUUGUUCUCCCAUAAAGACUUUCUCUCCCCAUUACCAGGUCAUUUGUUUUUCAGAAAAUGCCUUUCUCUUACUCCUUGCUACUUACUAAAUACUACUUAAACCCCCAAUUCUAACGCUUUAACAUCAUAUUUCUUUGUGAACAUCUGCAUAUAGACAUAUGUAAUUAAAUGUUUUUUCUCAGAGUAAUCUGCUUUUGUCUAUUUAAUUUGCAAUUUCCCAAUCACUGAAACCUAAGAGGGUAGAGAAAAUAUUUUGCUUCCCCACAAAUCCAAGAAUUAAGAUAUUAAUAACUCUUACUUACAUUCUCUAUUCCCUUUUCUUUCUGUUUUCUCAGUGUACUUGGCAAAACCCCCACUACACAAGAGAUUGAUAAUCAUAUCCCCCCCCACUUAUUUUCACCCAGGCAUCUAUGUGCUGCUGAAGAAAAUCAGGCACCUGCCCAAUGAGCCUACUACUUUUAUUUGCAUCUUCAUUCUUCAGAUAAUGAAUUAAAAUCUCCUCUCUCUAUAAAUGUCUCACCCUGUUUCUCUCCAAUGCCCUGCCCCAGCUACAGGGGCAGAGGAUGCUGUGACCUGCCCUCCUCCUGCCACUUUUGAAGAGUGGAGGGGUUUGGCUGGUUGGGUGAACCUGGUGGCACAGAGAGUGGUGGCAGAGCUGAGUGCACAGGGCUGCACAUUCCGGGCCCCCAGGGGCUACCAUGGACCUAGCACUCCCGGCUCCCUGAUGCUCUUGUUCUGCCUGCGGCCCUGGGCCACACUGCCAUGCACUUCUAGUGUGUGCUGUGCACAGCACCCACCCAAUGACACAGCCACCAACAAAAGAAAAUAUCUUUGUAUGUAACAUUAUGGAUUGGAAGAUGAGGAAAGGGGGUUUCUAUUAUUAAAGCACAUGAUGUUCGCUGAACAUUACUGUGUAUAUGUGCUCCUGUGUAUAUGCAUGUUGUGUGUGUGUGCGUGUGUACAUGCAUGCAUGUACACACACACACAGCAUGCGUGCGUGCGCACACACACACACACACACACACACAAGCAAGUUAUGGACACUAUAACCACCAUUUGACCCUAAAGGGAAACUGUGACCCAGGAAUUAAUGGCAUAAAGGAUUCAUUCAGUAGAAAAAUAAUCUAAAUCACCUUAUCCAUCCAUUUAUCAACUUUUCAAUUAUUAAGAAAUAUUUUCUGCGAACUUCCAAUAUUUAAGAACUUGGAAUGUUAUGAGGAUUAAACUGUAAAUUAUGCAAUGUCUCUUCAUAGAGCUCUAUAUUCUAAUGCAGGCAGUAAAAAUAAACUGCAGAAACAAAAUUUAUGAUAUUAAAAUAGCAUAUGAUUAUACAUUGUAUAAUUACAAAAUAUCAUUACCAUUGUUCAAGAAAAUGUUGGCACCUCAUAAGAUAAAAGUGACAUUUAAAAUAUUUUCAAUUCUGGAGUUCCCCUUGAGGCACAGUAGGUUAAGGAUCCAAUGCUAUCUCUCUGAGGAUGCAGGUUCAAUCCAUGGUCUCACUUAGUGGGUUAAGGAUCUAGCAUUAUUGCAAGCUGCAGCAGUGUAAGUCACAGAUGUGGCUCAGAUCUGGGGUUGCAGUGGCUGUGGCAGCUGCAGCUCUGAUUUGCCCCUAGCCCAGGAACUUUCAUAUGCCACAGGUAGGGCCAUAAAAAGAAAAAAAAAGAAGAAACAUUAUCAAUUCUGGAACUUCAGAUAUAUUUUUAGAAAGACUGGUUAUUAAAAAUAUUUUACAAAAUUCUGAAUCUUGGAAAAGUUAUUCUGCUUGAACUGGUAUGCAAAGCUGGAUUUCCUUUCUUAGGAUCUGGGUUUGCUAUUCUGAAAUAAGUACUUUUAAGACAAGUACUACCUUCUGAAAUCUAGACACUUGAAAAUCAAUAAUGAUUUUUAUCAGAAUAGAAAAUCUGCUGUACAUGCUUCUUAUGAUUCCUUUCAUCAUCCAUUUUCUUUGGGUUACCAUUUUAAAGGUUCCCCAUUUUGUUCUUUACAUUGGACUCCUCAUUCCCCCCUUUUUUUUGAUAAUCAAAAAAAAUCCAGAAUAAUACAUUAUUAUCAUGUAAACCAGAAUUUAUGAAUGCAUUAUAGGCUAUAUACAAAAUUGACAAAUUUGAACUUAAAUGUAUUCAUAAGUAUAAAAGAGCAAUUAAAAAUGCAUCUAUCUAUGUAUUGUUAUUGUGCAAUAAUGCCGCUUAAAAAAAUGUACACCAG
RNAcentral lists this long non-coding RNA (5929 nucleotides) under Sus scrofa (pig). Its description in RNAcentral is "lncRNA (ENSSSCG00040008794.1)". Lineage: Eukaryota; Metazoa; Chordata; Mammalia; Artiodactyla; Suidae. The record is from RNAcentral.